Molecule: ribosomal RNA, 484 nt
Filed under: uncultured bacterium
Lineage: Bacteria
Description: partial 16S ribosomal RNA
Rfam family: Bacterial small subunit ribosomal RNA
Source: RNAcentral
AUUGAACGCUGGCGGCAGGCCUAACACAUGCAAGUCGAGCGGAUGAAGGGGGCUUGCUCCUGGAUUCAGCGGCGGACGGGUGAGUAAUGCCUAGGAAUCUGCCUGGUAGUGGGGGAUAACGUCCGGAAAAGGGCGCUAAUACCGCAUACGUCCUGAGGGAGAAAGUGGGGGAUCUUCGGACCUCACGCUAUCAGAUGAGCCUAGGUCGGAUUAGCUAGUUGGUGGGGUAAAGGCCUACCAAGGCGACGAUCCGUAACUGGUCUGAGAGGAUGAUCAGUCACACUGGAACUGAGACACGGUCCAGACUCCUACGGGAGGCAGCAGUGGGGAAUAUUGGACAAUGGGCGAAAGCCUGAUCCAGCCAUGCCGCGUGUGUGAAGAAGGUCUUCGGAUUGUAAAGCACUUUAAGUUGGGAGGAAGGGCAGUAAGUUAAUACCUUGCUGUUUUGACGUUACCAACAGAAUAAGCACCGGCUAACUUCGUG